This 254-nucleotide ribosomal RNA is filed under the name uncultured bacterium. RNAcentral describes it as "partial 16S ribosomal RNA". It matches the Rfam family "Bacterial small subunit ribosomal RNA", at positions 524 to 776 of the family's 1533-position model. The record is from RNAcentral.
UACGUAGGGGGCGAGCGUUGUCCGGAUUUAUUGGGCGUAAAGAGCUCGUAGGCGGUUUGGUAAGUUGGAUGUGAAAUCUCCAGGCUCAACUUGGAGGGGUCAUUCGAUACUGCCAUGACUAGAGUUCGGUAGGGGAGUGUGGAAUUCCUGGUGGAGCGGUGAAAUGCGCAGAUAUCCGGAGGAACACCAGUGGCGAAAGCGGCCACCUGGACUGUACCUGACGCUCAAACGCGAAAGCUAGGGGAGCGAACGGG